AACAGACAUCCAAAUGAUGCACGUCACACUGCUGCUAAAUAUACUGGAUGUAUUUGCAAAAAUAAUCUUCACUCUGGGUUUAUUUAUUAUCCACAUCUCAGUAUCGUUGUCAGUGGAUGAAGUUUGCCUUGGAAAUAUGGAUAACAACUGAGCCAUCUCCAUGACAACGGAACAAAACCCAUCCACUGGUGAAAACCAUCAAAUGCUGUGGAAAAUGCUAGUUACUAUGCGACCUCUGGCCAACCCAGCUGGUGCAUGGAAUAAUCCUAUAUCUGUCAGAGUGCCAGAUAAGGAGGGAAAAUCCUUCUUUUACCUGAGGUCCAGGGAAGCCAUCCAAUCCAGGUUGCCCAUCUCUUCCUACAGGACCUUCAUUGCCCUUCUGACCUAAAAUACCCGGGAACCCAGGUUUACCCUGCAGAGGUCCAGGGUCACCUGGGGUUCCUGGGAAGCCUGGAGGUCCAUCAGCACCCUACAUUGAGGAAAUAUAAUAAUGUUAAAUAGGUUAAAUCCAAGUAAAUUAAUAUGUAUCUACUUUUAACAACCAUCACAUAAACGUUUUGACAACUGAUAAGAGUUUAAAACAUUUAUCACUGUUGUUGGUAUAGUGCAAGAAAAAAACAACAACUUACCGUUUUUCCAUCCUCCCCAGGAUCACCCUUUGAGAUUGAAAUAAAGAAUGAAAUUAAAAGGAUAAUUUGCUAAAUAAAAUUUUGUAAUGAAACUACAUUAAACCAAACUACUUCUCUCAACAGAACAUGUAACAAAAGAUUUGCUUUACGCUACGCUAAGAAUUCAACUGCAUUCUACUAACUGGCUCUCCAUCAGCUCCUGGUGGUCCCUGGGGGCCCGGGGCGCCAGGUGGUCCAGCUGGUCCUCGGGGUCCCGGGACUGUUGAAGCAACUGAGCCGUCACUGCCGACUGAAAACUCAGUUGCGGGCCCUGGAGGGCCAGGGGGGCCAGGGGGGCCAGCAGGGCCAGGUUCUCCCUUAUUUCCUUGGUAGCCAAAGCCCGCACUGCCCUGGAGAUAAAGAAGCCUCAGUGAUUAA
This is a long non-coding RNA of Micropterus dolomieu (smallmouth bass), 1046 nucleotides long. RefSeq lists it as uncharacterized. The record is from RefSeq and is a predicted model, not a curated record. NCBI's taxonomy places the organism in Eukaryota, Metazoa, Chordata, Actinopteri, Centrarchiformes, Centrarchidae. The transcript is spliced from 3 exons.